UUUAAACUCUGAAGUGGAGAGCAGCCCAAGAUGGCCGACUUCAAGGAUCAGGUGUCGGAUGAGGAGAAGGUACGCAUAGCUGCUAAAUUCAUCACUCAUGCACCCCCAGGGGAAUUUAAUGAAGUAUUCAAUGAUGUUUGGCUACUACUUAAUAAUGACAAUCUUCUCAGGGAAGGGGCAGCACAUGCGUUUGCCCAGUAUAACAUGGAUCAGUUCACACCUGUGAAGAUAGAAGGAUAUGAAGAUCAGGUCUUAAUUACAGAGCACGGUGACCUGGGUAAUAGCAGAUUUUUAGAUCCAAGAAACAAAAUUUCCUUUAAGUUUGAUCACUUACGGAAAGAAGCCAGUGACCCCCAACCAGAGGAAGUAGAUGGAAGUCUGAAGUCUUGGAGAGAAUCCUGUGAUAGUGCUUCAAGAGCCUAUGUGAAAGAUCAUUAUUCCAACGGCUUCUGUACUGUUCACUAUUAUGAAGAUGGCAAUGUUCAGUUGGUUAGUCAUAAAGAUGUACAGGAUUCAGUAACUGUUUCGAAUGAAGUCCAAACUGCCAAGGAGUUUAUUAAAACCAUAGAGAAUGCAGAAAAUGAGUAUCAGACAGCAAUUAGUGAAAACUAUCAAACAAUGUCACAUUCAAGGCUUUGCGCGGCAGCUUCCAGUUACGCGCACCAAAAUCGACUGGAACAAGAUACUCAGCUACAAGAUUGGCAAAGACAUGCAGAAUGCUUAAAGGCUGAAUGUAGGAUUCUUCAGUAUGUGGAAAGAAAAGGAUUCAAUGUAUGGUCCUAUGAUAAAUAAGUGAUUUAUAAACAAGAGUGAUAUUUUGCUAGGGCUUUCAAAGUUAAUAGGUUUUCUAGCCUCAUGGAAUACUGUUGAACCUAUAACAUUGUCUUGAUUCUUUUGUGUU
Molecule: non-coding RNA, 901 nt
Organism: Microcebus murinus (gray mouse lemur)
Lineage: Eukaryota; Metazoa; Chordata; Mammalia; Primates; Cheirogaleidae
Source: RefSeq, a predicted model, not a curated record